RNAcentral lists this ribosomal RNA (676 nucleotides) under uncultured bacterium. RNAcentral's name for it is "bacterial SSU rRNA". It matches the Rfam family "Bacterial small subunit ribosomal RNA", at positions 699 to 1365 of the family's 1533-position model. The record is from RNAcentral.
UUUGUGAGAUCCGGUGGGCGAGGCGGCCCCCUUGGCACAACACUGACGCUCAGGUGCGAAAGCGUGGGGAGCAAACAGGAUUAGAUACCCUGGUAGUCCACGCCGGUAAACGAUGGUCCACUAGCUGUUCGUGACCUUGUGUCGUGGAGUAGCGGCAGCUAACGCACUAAGUAGACCGCCUGGGGGAGUACGGUCGCAAGAUUUAAAACUCAAAUUGAAAUUGACGGGGGCCCGCACAAGCGGUGGAGCAUGUUGGUUUUAAUUCGAUGCAAACGCGAAAAAACCUUACCCACCUUUGACAUGUACGGAAUCCUUUAGAGAUAGAGGAGUGCUCGAAAGAGAGCCGUAACACAGGUGCUGCAUGGCUGUCGCCAGCUCGUGUCGUGAGAUGUUGGGUUAAGUCCCGCAACGAGCGCAACCCUUGCCAUUAGUUGCUACGAAAGGGCACUCUAAUGGGACUGCCGGUGACAAACCGGAGGAAGGUGGGGAUGACGUCAAGUCCUCAUGGCCCUUAUAGGUGGGGCUACACACGUCAUACAAUGGCUGGUACAGAGGGUUGCCAACCCGCGAGGGGGAGCUAAUCCCAUAAAGCCAGUCGUAGUCCGGAUCGCAGUCUGCAACUCGACUGCGUGAAGUCAGAAUCGCUAGUAAUCGCNGGAUCAGAAUGUCGCGGUGA